This is a long non-coding RNA of Homo sapiens (human), 3378 nucleotides long. RefSeq lists it as uncharacterized. NCBI's taxonomy places the organism in Eukaryota, Metazoa, Chordata, Mammalia, Primates, Hominidae. The transcript has 2 exons. The record is from RefSeq and is a predicted model, not a curated record.
CACUUCGCCAUUUUCCUCCGGAAGUGCGGAUCCCAGCGGUGGUCGUGUAGCUGAGCAGGCCUGGGGCUUGGUUCUAUGUCCCUGUGGCUAUGUUUCCAGUGUCCUCUGGGUGUUUCCAAGAGCAACAAGAAACGAAUAAAUCUCUGGUGAGUUGUUUAUUUGUUCUUCACUUUGUUUUACACUGUAUUUUCUGAGUUUAUGGGUGUCUGUGAAUUAAAAAGGAAAAGUGGAAAUAAGUAAAACUCAGGUUGAAGGAAAUAUACAUAAAUAAGAUAAAGCUGACCUGUAGAUAUAGACAGGUUAUAAAAGCUUAGAGUUGUCUAAGUUGAGUGCAAAGUUUCCUCUGAUCUUUCUGAUGCCGAAACAAAAAAGGCAGUCAUGUUUGUUACGUGAUUGGAAUGGAACCCGAAAAGAGAGCACGCUGUAUUCUUGUGGGACAGGAAAGCUUGUGUGCACCAAGUCUUAACCACCACCUUCAUUGGUGACAUAGAUUAUGUGCUGGAACAUAUUUCACACCGGUCUGGCAGUAAGCACUUGUAGUGUUGUGCAGUGGAAACAGUCAUCUUCCGCUAAGGCAUGACGUGUUGUGCAGUGGAAAUGGUCAUCUUCCGCUAAAGCAUGGCGUGUUGUGCAGUGGAAAUGGUCAUCUGACGCUAAAGCACAGCAUGUUGUACAGUGGAAAUGGUCAUCGUCUGCUAAAGCACGGCGUGUUGUGCAGUGGAAAUGGUCAUCUGCUGCUAAAGCACAGCUUCCAUCAUAAGGUAUGCUCCUUGCUCAAAGAGUGUGGUCCCAAACAGCUUUUGGGAGGUCCUCCUUGACUCAUGGAUGAAACCCGGAACAUCUUGAGGACUGAGUUAACCACAGGUCCUUAAAUAACUCUCCACACAUUUUUCUUAGUUUAUCUCUACAUGCAGGGUGUGCAGCAGCCUGUUCAAAGUCAUAUUUUCUGGGAAAUAUUUUCAGUGUUUAUUUGCAAUUUAGCCCACUCUGUGUAGUCUUAACUUAUUUCUUCUAAACUCACCAUUAACCUAAAUAAUAGUCAAAUUUAGGGGGGCUGUAUUUGUCUUACUCGAGUCUUCUACCAUAGUUGAAACUGUCGUACCCAAGCGAGUUAGAGAGAAAUGCCACACUUUGAGACGAAUUCAGGAGUCCUUUAUUAGCUGGUGACUGAGAGAUGGCUAACACAGGAAAUACUCUCGGCCCUAAAGAAUGGGCUAGAUUUUCUUUUAUACAUUGGUUUAGAGAGGGGAGGGGGGAUUCCAGCUGCAAUAAACUUACAGAAGAAAAAACAGACAAAAAACUUAAAAAGACAGAUGGUUACAGGAAAACAAACUGUUCCAGGUGCAGAGGCUUUAAAUUCACCACAAAGUGAUGAGUGAGGGUGCUCUGGGCUUUAUCUUCCAGACAAAUGUGGGGGCUUUAUGAUAUUAUCUCUGAGUAAUUUGCUGGGAACUGCGGACAUCACUUGCCUCAGCACUUUAUCAGUUAAUUGCACUCUUUGAUAUGUUGAAAAUCAGCUUGCACAAGUUAAAGUCCUUGAGGAAAGGGGGUGGGUAAGGAGCCCUUGAUGUCUUGUAAAUGAAGGAGCCAAAUGGAGUUUGUCUGGUUUUCUCAGCUAAGGGAGAGUCUAUUCAUAUUAAAAACAAGGUUAGCUAUCUAAGGAAGAGUCUAUUCAUGUUAAUACAACGUUGGGUAUUACAAAACAUCUGUUCAUGAUCUGGAAAUUCUUCCGUGUUAGUUCUGUUAAAAGAAAAACUUUAAAGGAGUUUAACUGAGCAAUAAACGAUUCAUGAAUCGGAAAGUCCCCAGAAUCACAGCAGAUUCACAGAGACUCCAGCACAGUCAUGUGGUGGAAGAAGAUUUGUAGACAAAAGGGAAGUGGCAUAACGAAAUCGGAAGUGAGGUACAGAAACAACUCAGCGUUUGCCUUGUUUGAGCACAGUUUGAACAUUUGGCAGUGCCUGAUUGGUUGAAGUUUGGCCAUUGGGAUUGGCCAAGAUGUAGCUGUUGUUUGAGGUGCAUACACUCAAGUUAGGUUUUCAUUCUUGUUUACCUAUUAAGGUAGGUUGCAGGUCAUCCACAAGGACUCAUAUAUAUAAUUAUGGAGUCCUUCUCAGGACAUACUUAGUUCACUUUAACAAUGCCUUCCCUUUGGUUAUUUUCUCAAUUUUGAGAGAUUAGCCAAAACUUCAGUCACUGGUGUCACUAUUACCCUUGCAAAUGUACUUAUUUGGUUUAGAAACCCACUGGGAAAUAGAACAGUGAGAUUUGAAAAGGUGGAACAAGGACUUGAGUAGAAGGUGUCUUCUUAUGCUGGAAUAUCCUGUUUACAGGAGAAAAACAAAACCUGGUUUGUUCUAGGAUUUAUGUGUUUCCUUAAAGUCUUAGUUUGAUUAUGUUCCAUUUAGCAUGAGUGACUCCAUUUUGGUUUGGUUUGUUCUGUUGGGACCUAUUGCAUGAGCUUAGUUCAAAACAAUGGCCUCCCAGAAUUUUGCUUAAAAAAUUCCUCCUUUUGGCUGGGCACGGUGGCUCAUGCCUGUAAUCCCAGCACUUUGGGAGGCCGAGGUGGGCAGAUCACGAGAUCAGGAGAUUGAGACCAUCCUUGCUAAUACGGCGAAACCUCAUCUCUACUAAAUACACAAAAAAAUAGCCAAGAAUGCUGGCGGGUGCCUGUAGUCCCAGCUACUCAGGAGGCUGAGGCAGGAGAAUGGCCUGAACCCGGGAGGCAGAGCUUGCAGUGAGCCGAGAUCAUGCCACUGCACUCCACUCUGGGGGACAGAGCAAGACUCUGUCUCAGAAAAAGAAAAUCCUCCUUUUCAGUCAAGUUCUCACUUAGUUGAGAGUGUGACCAAAAUGUAGGGCCUUAGCCUCACUCUUAGUUACCAUUGUUUUGGGUUUCCGGUUUAGCACAUCACUCCCAUUGUUUUGGGUAAUGGUUUUAGCACGUCACUCCCAUUGUUUUGGGUUUCUGGUUUAGCACGUCACUCCCAUUGUUUUGGGUUCUGGUUUUAGUACAUCACUCCCAUUGUUUUGGGUUCCGGUUUUAGUACAUCAGUCCCAUUGUUUUGGGUUUCUGGUUUAGCAUGUCACUCCCAUUGUUUUGGGUUUCUGGUUUAGCAUGUCACUCAUAGGUUACGGUGUCCUUAUGGUUGCACAUUUUUUUUAAUCUGUUGUCAUUCCAGAUGAAGAGAUACCAUUUGACAUUUUAGAGAUGGCUGCAUGCAAACUCUUAAAACAUUUGAGUAAGUACAGUGCACCAGGGAGACUCUUAUGACUAUUGGGAUAACACCAAGAAUUUGGUAUAUGCUCCUUACUCCGGGUCCCCAUAAAUCAAACCACCUAAAAUCAAAUAGAUUAAAGAAUGAAUUAGAUAAAGAG